Molecule: unclassified non-coding RNA, 1174 nt
Filed under: Hevea brasiliensis (rubber tree)
Lineage: Eukaryota; Viridiplantae; Streptophyta; Magnoliopsida; Malpighiales; Euphorbiaceae
Source: RNAcentral
UUUCUCUCUCUAUCUCUCAUAUUCUACCAUUCUAUAAAGUCUUAACUAAUCUACAUCAAACCAGUUGGGGAGAGAUAUAGAUACCUUUCAGAGGAUAGGAUCCAAAGGCUCCCAAAAUGAGGAAACCAGAGGCCUCUGGGAAGAACAACAACAAUAAUAACAAGCUUAGAAAGGGCUUGUGGUCACCAGAGGAAGAUGACAAGCUCAUGAAUUACAUGCUAAAUAAUGGACAAGGUUGUUGGAGUGAUGUGGCAAGAAAUGCUGGGUUGCAGAGGUGUGGCAAGAGUUGCCGUCUUCGCUGGAUCAAUUAUUUGAGGCCUGACCUUAAGAGAGGCGCAUUUUCACCCCAGGAAGAAGAACUGAUCAUCCAUUUGCAUUCUCUUCUUGGCAACAGGUGGUCUCAGAUUGCGGCUCGCUUGCCUGGACGUACAGACAAUGAGAUAAAGAAUUUUUGGAAUUCAACAAUAAAGAAAAGACUAAAGAAUCUGUCGUCUUCAGCCUCACCAAACACGAGUAAUUCUUCCUCAGAGCCAAGCAAAGAAGUAGCAGCAGCCUUAGGAGAAGGGUUCAUCUCCAUGCAGGAACAAAGCAUGAGUCCCAUGUACAUAUACCCAUCAUUAUCAUCUUCAUCUUCAUCAAACACGUCCAUGCAAGCUAUGUUUCUGAAUCAAAUAAUGGACCCAUUGCCUACCUUCGAUCAUGGCCUAAGCACGUGCGGUGCAAGUGUAUACUUCAAUAAUGAUGCACCCCCAUGCAUGACUCAUAUAGGAGUUAGCGGUGAUGAUAUAUAUGGAAAUCAAGGGAUCCUUGGAGGUGUUAACAUUGGAAUUGAAGGAGAGCUUCAUAUUCCUCCUCUAGAGAGUAUAAGCAUAGAGGAAAACGCUAAAACUGAAGAUAUGUAUGGUAGCAACAACAAUAAGUACCCAUAUAGCAAUGUGAAUAGAAUUAACAGCAACUGCAAUAACAAUACUAAGGCUGAGAAUAUGACUACUGGGGUUGGGAACUUAUGGCAAGGAGAAGAGCUAAAAGUGGGGGAUUGGGACUUGGAAGAGUUGAUGAAAGAUGUGUCCUCCUUUCCUUUUCUUGAUAUUUUUCAAGCUGAGUAAAUGGUUUUCCUCAAAAAAUUUCUUCAAUUUUCGAAUUGAUACCCUUUUCCCUUUUUGUAGAAACCUCC